This 16-nucleotide small RNA is filed under the name Arabidopsis thaliana (thale cress). Its description in RNAcentral is "ATSL209910". The record is from RNAcentral. Lineage: Eukaryota; Viridiplantae; Streptophyta; Magnoliopsida; Brassicales; Brassicaceae.
AAAAAAAAGACGAUAA